This 102-nucleotide Y RNA is filed under the name Prolemur simus (greater bamboo lemur). RNAcentral describes it as "Y RNA (ENSPSMG00000026035.1)". It matches the Rfam family "Y RNA". Rfam says of the family: Y RNAs are components of the Ro ribonucleoprotein particle (Ro RNP), in association with Ro60 and La proteins. The Y RNAs and Ro60 and La proteins are well conserved, but the function of the Ro RNP is not known. In humans the RNA component can be one of four small RNAs -- hY1, hY3, hY4 and hY5. Lineage: Eukaryota; Metazoa; Chordata; Mammalia; Primates; Lemuridae. The record is from Rfam by way of RNAcentral.
GGUUGGUCCGAGUGCAGUGGUGUUUACAACUAAUUGAUCAUAUCCAGUUACAGAUUCCUUUGUUCCUUCUCCACUCCCACUGCUUCACUUGACCAGCCUUAA